RNAcentral lists this long non-coding RNA (1239 nucleotides) under Canis lupus familiaris (dog). RNAcentral describes it as "lncRNA (ENSCAFG00030026039.1)". Lineage: Eukaryota; Metazoa; Chordata; Mammalia; Carnivora; Canidae. The record is from RNAcentral.
AUGGAAACGGCAUGUCCCGCUCCUGCAGACCAUCCAGAUGGGGGAGCUGAACAGCCCCCUCGGGGCUCCCAUCCAGAGUCCAGAGGGCAGGAGAGGCUGGGGACCGGGCUUGGCGGCCCUGCGCCAAGGGCUUGCUCUCUUUGGAGGGUCCUGGGGGCUGACAGUGGAGCCAGAGCUGGGGCAAGAGGGCGGGGCAGGGGGAGACAAAGGGGGAAGCGGGGCAGGAAGGGAAGUCAGCAGAGAGCGGCUUCAGCCCAGAAGGAAGAGCAGCCGCUCUGCACUUCCCGCUGGGCAUGUUUGGAGAGCUCGGCGCUGGCAGGAAGGUCUGUCUUUCCGGCCUCCCCUGCCCAGCGGAGCCUCCCAGCACCCUGGGGCGAGCCAGGGCAGGUUCCAGGGGCCACUUUGGAUCUCCCCUCCAGUUGUGGGCGACUCCCCAUUACACUCAGGCCUGAUUCCAAGAGGCUCCCUCCUCCUUGCUCACCACCCCAGCUUCUGGAGCUGGACUCUGCUCCGUCUAACGGAGGCCCCCCGGGGCUCCUCGGGGUAGGCCGCGUCCCCGAACUCAGCCCAGGUGCCCCACACACAGGUGCCACCAAAUGCUUUAGUGGGGGUUUUGUACAGGUGCUGCUGGGACCCUCUGGGAUGUGUGCGCUGUGCCUGGCACACCACGAGACUGGCAUCUCUCAGAAUAGGACAGGAAACAGAUGGCCCACUUAUGGGGGGGGGCAAAGAGAUUUGUUAAUGAAAAGAGCAUUUUCAGAGGUGUUGGCAGCAUUGAGAGAACCACCAGGGCUGCUGAGGCACCGAGAGACCUGUGACAGAAGAAGCUAUGACCACCCCCAGGCUGAAGGGGUGUGGGAAGAAGGAUGCUUGUCACCAGAGCGAGGCCCAGGGCCUCAGGAAGGGCCAUCUGGUGGGAUCUGUGCUCCUAAAGGCCGGCUGAGCCGCCGCAGCCCCCACGGACACGGGAAACCCCACGGGCUCUCUCCUCAGAACACAGCCGGGAUCUGCCCCGGCGCCCCCCUCGCCGGAUCGCCCCUGGAUCACGCAGAGGACUCCCCCCGGCUUCCCCGCCACGUCGCCACCAUCUGUUGUCCACGCGGCAGCUCGGGGGGGGGGGCUAACGCACACGCGGGGGCCGUGGGCCCUCUGCUCACCACCGGCACAAGCAAAAGUGCCUGCGACCGCCUGGUCCAGGCCGCCCCCCGGGCCCUGCCCUGCUUUUCACGUUGCACUUAG